UAAGAAUGCAAGGUCCAAAAGUGAGC
RNAcentral lists this non-coding RNA (26 nucleotides) under Mus musculus (house mouse). The record is from RNAcentral. Lineage: Eukaryota; Metazoa; Chordata; Mammalia; Rodentia; Muridae.